ACCAGGCAUGGUGGUGCAUGCCUGUAAUCCCAGGUAGUCAGGAGGUUGAGGCAGGAGAAUUGCUUGAGCCCAGGAGAUGGAGGUUGCAGUGAGCCGAGAUCACGCCACUGCACUCCAGCCUGGGCAACAGAGUGAGAUUCUGUCUCAA
Molecule: non-coding RNA, 148 nt
Organism: Homo sapiens (human)
Lineage: Eukaryota; Metazoa; Chordata; Mammalia; Primates; Hominidae
Rfam family: Metazoan signal recognition particle RNA
About the family: The signal recognition particle (SRP) is a universally conserved ribonucleoprotein. It is involved in the co-translational targeting of proteins to membranes.
Source: Rfam